AGGCUUAAACCUCGCGGGGCAAAAAAAAACAGUUAAGUGUGGACUUUUAAAGAGGGAUCUGGCAACCCGAUAGCGAUAGAGUAUGGUGGAGAGCAGCUCUCAGCAGAAGAGGAAAAUUCAGGCAUUUGUAUAGAAGAUGCUUCUGCUACAUUUAAGUUGUAUGUCUGGACGAGGCUGCGAAUAUCGAGCCAGACGAAUCUGGAGCUGCGAAUAUCAAACCAACUUCAUGUCUGGCUGCAUUUUGGCUUUCCUGUGGAAACAAUAAACGUCCGCCCUGUCCAUCACACACCCAGUCCUCCCUGUCCGUCACUGAAGAGUUCCUCUACAGUAUAAACCAGAGACCAGCGCUCCAUCAGUUUAUUCUUCACUCACUUCUGAGGUUCAUACACUGGUACAUCCUGAAGACUGUGAAAGGUAAGGGGCCUAUUUCAAUUUCUGCAUUUGCAAAUUUAAUAUAACCACUUAACAUAUUAACAAAGUGUUCCUGCUUAUUAAUGUCCUUUUAAAUAUUCUUGAAAAGUCUUUUUUCUAAUAUUUUUUUAAUAGCAAGAAAAAACAACCAAUUGCCUUCCUGUUCUCAAAAACUGACUGAAAAGCUGUUUGUACAGUAUUAUAUAUUUGUUGCUGAGGUCUUUAAAAGGAAUUAGGAACUAGUAGGGUGUACCAUGAUUUCUGCUUUUAGCUUCUUCCAUGAAAGCUAAAGAAUGCUGCACUGAUCUAAAGGAUAGGAGGGGCUUCAUCCAUUUAAUGUGGAUGUGAUUUUUGCUGCUUGUCACUUCUAUCUAUUCACAAGGACAUUUCUAGACAGACGCUGAUGUCACGAUCAUUAUUACCACCCACUGCACUGUUCACUGUGGGAGGUAAUGAAUUCUGUGCCAUAUUACUAGUACACAUGUGACACUGUGACACUGGAUCGGGGAAUGUUAAAUGCCACUAACUUCAGAAAUGAAAUGUGCCAUUUAGCCGUUUUUUAUAAUGUGAGAUUCAAAGUUUGAACACUAGGUGUCAGAAACGGGGCAAAGAGUCUAAAAGCGGAGAGGGUGCGCAUUUCUAGCGCAGAAAAACGGGCCAAAGAGUCUAAAAGUGGACGUAAUUAAGGAGUUUAAUAUUAAGAGACAUCAUGAAAUUAAACAUCAAUUUGAAAAAUCUUAGUUUACACAACACUGUCAAAGAUAAAGAUAGUAAGUCAAGUAAAAUGGAG
This 1201-nucleotide long non-coding RNA is filed under the name Astyanax mexicanus (Mexican tetra). Its description in RNAcentral is "lncRNA (ENSAMXG00005009270.1)". Lineage: Eukaryota; Metazoa; Chordata; Actinopteri; Characiformes; Acestrorhamphidae. The record is from RNAcentral.